RNAcentral lists this small RNA (108 nucleotides) under Epilithonimonas xixisoli. Its description in RNAcentral is "Chryseobacterium xixisoli Flavo-1 RNA". It matches the Rfam family "Flavo-1 RNA". Lineage: Bacteria; Pseudomonadati; Bacteroidota; Flavobacteriia; Flavobacteriales; Weeksellaceae. The record is from RNAcentral.
CCAUAGCCCUGAUAGAAGCGGCAUCCUUUUUUGUUUUUAUGGAUCAUUUUCUAUCGGAUGAGAGAGCGUGGAAAAACAAAAAAAAUACAGCGGAUAGCGGGAAAUAGC